AACGAACGCUGGCGGCAUGCCUAACACAUGCAAGUCGAACGAGACCUUCGGGUCUAGUGGCGCACGGGUGCGUAACGCGUGGGAACCUGCCCUUAGGUUCGGAAUAACUCCCCGAAAGGGGUGCUAAUACCGGAUAAUGUCUUCGGACCAAAGAUUUAUCGCCUUUGGAUGGGCCUGCGUUGGAUUAGCUAGUUGGUAGGGUAAAAGCCUACCAAGGCGACGAUCCAUAGCUGGUCUGAGAGGAUGAUCAGCCACACUGGGACUGAGACACGGCCCAGACUCCUAUGGGAGGCAGCAGUGGGGAAUAUUGGACAAUGGGCGAAAGCCUGAUCCAGCAAUGCCGCGUGAGUGAUGAAGGCCUUAGGGUUGUAAAGCUCUUUUACCCGGGAUGAUAAUGACAGUACCGGGAGAAUAAGCUCCGGCUAACUCCGUG
Molecule: ribosomal RNA, 433 nt
Filed under: uncultured bacterium
Lineage: Bacteria
Description: partial 16S ribosomal RNA
Rfam family: Bacterial small subunit ribosomal RNA
Source: RNAcentral